UCCGUAGGCGGGCGUCUAAGUCAGUGGUGAAAUCCUACGGCUCAACUGUAGAAUUGCCAUUGAAACUGUCGCUCUUGAGUAUAGUUGAAGUGGGCGGAAUGUGUCAUGUAGCGGUGAAAUGCAUAGAGAUGACACAGAACACCAAUCGCGAAGGCAGCUCACUAAACUAUAACUGACGCUCAGGCACGAAAGCGUGGGUAGCGAACAGGAUUAGAUACCCUGGUAGUCC
RNAcentral lists this ribosomal RNA (229 nucleotides) under uncultured bacterium. Its description in RNAcentral is "partial 16S ribosomal RNA". It matches the Rfam family "Bacterial small subunit ribosomal RNA", at positions 568 to 796 of the family's 1533-position model. The record is from RNAcentral.